AGAGUUUGAUCCUGGCUCAGAACGAACGCUGGYGGCGUGCCUAACACAUGCAAGUCGAACGGGAUGAGGGGCYUGCUCCUCAUUUAGUGGCGCACGGGUGAGUAACGCGUAGAUAAUCUGCCUGAUGAUCCGGGAUAACACUUYGAAAGGGGUGCUAAUACCGGAWAAGCCCMCGGGAUCUUCGGAUUCUGCGGGAAAAGGUGGCCUCUAUUUAUAAGCUACCGUAUCAGGAUGGGUCCSCGUACCAUUAGYUAGUUGGKGGGGUAAUGGCCUACCAAGGCAACGAUGGUUAGCGGGUSUGAGAGGAUGAUCCGCCACACUGGAASUGAGACACSGUCCAGACUCCUASGGGAGGCAGCAGUGGGGAAUUUUGCGCAAUGGGGGAAMCCCUGACGCAGCAACGCCGCGUGAGUGRUGAAGGCUUUCGGGUYGUAAAGCUCUGUCAGAGGRGAAGAAAURAAACGUGCWAAWAUCAMGUUUUSUYGWCGGUACCCUCAAAGGAAGCMCCGGMWAACUCCGUGCCAGCAGCCGCGGUAAUAC
Molecule: ribosomal RNA, 540 nt
Filed under: uncultured Geobacter sp.
Lineage: Bacteria; Pseudomonadati; Thermodesulfobacteriota; Desulfuromonadia; Geobacterales; Geobacteraceae
Also listed under: 1 other name
Description: partial 16S ribosomal RNA
Rfam family: Bacterial small subunit ribosomal RNA
Source: RNAcentral